Molecule: transfer RNA, 74 nt
Filed under: Trachymyrmex cornetzi
Lineage: Eukaryota; Metazoa; Arthropoda; Insecta; Hymenoptera; Formicidae
Rfam family: tRNA
About the family: Transfer RNA (tRNA) molecules are approximately 80 nucleotides in length.
Source: Rfam by way of RNAcentral
GCUUCGGUAGUCUAAAGGCUUAGGACGCUCGCACGGAAUACAAGAGAUCCAAGGUUCGACUCCCGGCCGAAGUA